This 1600-nucleotide long non-coding RNA is filed under the name Coffea arabica (coffee). RNAcentral's name for it is "long non-coding RNA (CARA_LNC004620)". The record is from RNAcentral. Lineage: Eukaryota; Viridiplantae; Streptophyta; Magnoliopsida; Gentianales; Rubiaceae.
UGCGGACUUGAACUUGGGCCAAACUUGAAAUUUAAGUGCUUCUAAUUUUUCCUUCUAUUUUUUUCCCUGUUUCUGGGUCUGGUACAAAAGCCCAGCUUCUCCACCAAAUAUGUGACAAUUGCCGCAAUGUGGAAUUAGAGAGUGAAACCUGGCACAGUGGGAGCCUGGUGUCUUUGGGAUUAUUAAAUGGGUGCCGCUCUCUCAAAGCUCUGUCAUUAGGCUCCUUUUAUAUGCUGAAACAUCUCCGUAUAAACUUACUGCCAAAGAAUUGAGAUGCUCUCGAUUCCUCCGAGUGAGAUUGGGAAUCAAACUAUCAAAGUAGCAAUCUGACUUCACUAGUGUUGUUCCUCUGAGAUUUAGCCGUCCCUUUCUUCGUUUUUCUUCUCAAUUUCCCUUUCACCCUUUUCAAUUUCCUCUCAGAUUUAGCCGUCCCUUAGCUUGGUAAUUUCCCUUUCACAGCCAGAUUGAAGACCCCUUCGCCCAGUACAAAUGACGAAGAAAUUGAAGCUUCAGCUCUAGAUUAGCCAGCCAUCACCUUCAUUCUUUCUUUCGCUUUCCCUUUCCCUCUGUUGUCUCCUUCCCUCUGCCAUCAUCCUCUGUUUUUCUCCUCUCCUUCCUUCACAGCCGGACGAUGAAGAAAGAACUCGCUUCUCCAAAUAACCAACGGUGGCCAAAAGAACUCUCUUCUCCAAAUAAAUUGUGACCCUCGUUCUUUCUUUUCCCUUUUCCUUUCUCUCUGUUUUCUCCUUCCCUCUCUGCUAAUCUGAAGAUAUUCCCUCUCUGCAAAAGGCACCCAGAAAUUGACGGUAUGUUUCUCCCCUUAUCUUCCCUUUCCCCUAAAUCUUGUCUUUGUGGCUGAAAAAGAAAACAAGAAAGCAUGGGAAAUCGGACAAAAUCCGAGUCGAAUCCGAGAAUUUGGCUGAUAUCUUUCUACACGGUUCUAACUCGGAAAAUAUCGACUGAUUCAAAGCGAUUCAAAUCGAAUAUGGUAUAAUCGACAUUUCGGAUAUCGGUAUCGAAACGGUAGGGACUGUUCCGGUUAUGACUCGGCCGAGUCGUCGAACCCUAGUAAUGCACUGCCAAGAAAUCAGUUAAGACAUUGAAAGUUAGUCCUGUAGAAUCAACAAUCAAGGAUGACAUGCCGCAUGCGGGUAUUGUUGCUUUGCAAGUCUUGUCCAGCCUUGGGGAAGUUAUAAAGGGAUCAAGCAUUGUGCACCUAGCAGGCUUCAGAAUUCGAAAGACAGUAGUAAAAGAGGAAGGAUUUGAAGAUUACGGCUUGCUUUGUUGGAGCACCAUUUCUGCUUGCAAGUGAUGAUAUAAUCUGCUUGAAAUUGAUUGUUAAGGGAGUUGCUUGGAACUUCGAUUACAUGAUAAGAUCAUAGGAAGUAGUUUAUUUGCAUGUCGAAGUAUGUUCAUGUGUUUAAGCAUAUUGCAAUUGUGCUUUACUCGAUGCCAUUUAUCUUUAAAAUGCUUCAUCUUUACUUUCUUUCCCAUUAAAAGAUUUUUUGUUUAAAUUCCAGCCCAUCUUAUGGCUAGGAAAGCUCUUCAUUGAACGCUUGUACUUCGUAUAGGAUAGUUUUCCGGGUAACUUGCAUAUAAC